Small nuclear RNA from Rana temporaria (common frog), 198 nucleotides. RefSeq annotates it as U2 spliceosomal RNA. The record is from RefSeq and is a predicted model, not a curated record. The transcript has a single exon. NCBI's taxonomy places the organism in Eukaryota, Metazoa, Chordata, Amphibia, Anura, Ranidae.
UAUGCUUCUUGACCUUUUGGCUUAGAUCAAGUGUAGUAUCUGUUCUUGUCAGUCAUUGGGAAAAGAACACUGACCCCCUUUCGCCAAUUAGGGGGCCAGUUAGUACUUCCUUCAGGUAAUUAGGAGGAGGUGGCUGGGAGCCUUUUCCUCCCGGGUUGAAUCUGGCUUUGGCUUGUCCCCAAUUGUAGGUAGGGCUCU